RNAcentral lists this ribosomal RNA (240 nucleotides) under uncultured yeast. RNAcentral's name for it is "partial 26S ribosomal RNA". It matches the Rfam family "Eukaryotic large subunit ribosomal RNA", at positions 37 to 281 of the family's 3401-position model. Lineage: Eukaryota; Fungi. The record is from RNAcentral.
GCCAUAUCAAUAAGCGGAGGAAAAGAAACCAACAGGGAUUGCCUCAGUAGCGGCGAGUGAAGCGGCAAGAGCUCAGAUUUGAAAUCGUGCUUUGCGGCACGAGUUGUAGAUUGCAGGUUGGAGUCUGUGUGGAAGGCGGUGUCCAAGUCCCUUGGAACAGGGCGCCCAGGAGGGUGAGAGCCCCGUGGGAUGCCGGCGGAAGCAGUGAGGCCCUUCUGACGAGUCGAGUUGUUUGGGAAU